RNAcentral lists this small RNA (815 nucleotides) under Caenorhabditis elegans. RNAcentral describes it as "Unclassified non-coding RNA Y105E8B.16". Lineage: Eukaryota; Metazoa; Nematoda; Chromadorea; Rhabditida; Rhabditidae. The record is from RNAcentral.
CUCAGAGACACCCAGAAGAAGAUGACUCAGACCGGAGACGAUUUGGACAAGGCUCAGGUAUGGGUUUAAGCCAGAAUUUAGGCUCUUUGCGUAUAUUUUAUCGAUUUUAAGACCCCAUAUAAACUGGCUUCCUAAAUUUUCGCUUAGAUCUUGGUUUGAUAAGACUUUAAGCUAUCAGAUUUUUACCAGGAAGCUUAAAAAUUCAUGAAAAUCGCAGGAGUUUCUAGAAGUUCCAAAAUAUUGUCUAGCUUCUACUUUGAUACCAUAUAUAAUUAGCGUAUUAUUAAUACCUACUUUCUCAACUUAAAGCCGCUAUCCCGGAAGAUUUUGGCCUGAAACUGAGCAAAGUUCUGAAAAGCAGAAGUUGAGCUCUAAAUUUCCUAAUUUUUUGGAAUCAAGCUUUUACAAUACCUUAUAUAUAGCGAAUUUUGAUUACAGUCCGAUUUCAGAAAACAAAAUUUUUUAGAGACACUGGCGCUCAAGUAACCUAUAAAAUCUUAAAGUAUAACUAAAAAUCACCCUAAAAACAAAAUUCGAAAUUCAUAGUGCAGGGUGCUCAAUUUGUAACUUUUAGCCCUAAAAAUUUAACCUGGAAUCUAAAAUUUACCUAGGACACCACUAGAAAUCAAAUUCGAAGCUCAUGGUGCAUCGUCCACCUAGGUCUACCUGUCUCCCUGGGCUUAUGCUCCUAAGCUGAAACACUUAGGCUUAAGCUAAGCUAAAAGAAUAAGCUCAAAAUCAAACUUCCAUUUUUCAGGAGGACCUCUCCGCCGCCACCUCCAAGCUCGAGGAGAAGGAGAAGACCGUUCAAGAGG